Molecule: ribosomal RNA, 450 nt
Filed under: uncultured bacterium
Lineage: Bacteria
Description: partial 16S ribosomal RNA
Rfam family: Bacterial small subunit ribosomal RNA
Source: RNAcentral
GUGGGGAAUAUUGGACAAUGGGCGAAAGCCUGAUCCAGCCAUGCCGCGUGUGUGAAGAAGGUCUUCGGAUUGUAAAGCACUUUAAGUUGGGAGGAAGGGCAGUAAGUUAAUACCUUGCUGUUUUGACGUUACCAACAGAAUAAGCACCGGCUAACUUCGUGCCAGCAGCCGCGGUAAUACGAAGGGUGCAAGCGUUAAUCGGAAUUACUGGGCGUAAAGCGCGCGUAGGUGGUUCAGCAAGUUGAAGGUGAAAUCCCCGGGCUCAACCUGGUAACUGCCGCCAAAACUACUGAGCUAGAGUACGGUAGAGGGUAAUGGAAUUUCCUGUGUAGCGGUGAAAUGCGUAGAUAUAGGAAGGAACACCAGUGGCGAAGGCGACUACCUGGACUGAUACUGACACUGAGUUGCGAAAGCGUGGGGAGCAAACAGGAUUAGAUACCCGGGUAGUCC